UGGGGAAUAUUGCACAAUGGGGGAAACUCUGACGCAGUGACGCCGCGUAUAGGAAGAAGGUUUUCGGAUUGUAAACUAUUGUCGUUAGGGAAGAUACAAGACAGUACCUAAGGAGGAAGCUCCGGCUAACUACGUGCCAGCAGCCGCGGUAAUACGUAGGGAGCAAGCGUUAUCCGGAUUUAUUGGGUGUAAAGGGUGCGUAGACGGGACAACAAGUUAGUUGUGAAAUCCCUCGGCUUAACUGAGGAACUGCAACUAAAACUAUUGUUCUUGAGUGUUGGAGAGGAAAGUGGAAUUCCUAGUGUAGCGGUGAAAUGCGUAGAUAUUAGGAGGAACACCGGUGGCGAAGGCGACUUUCUGGACAAUAACUGACGUUGAGGCACGAAAGUGUGGGGAGCAAACAGGAUUAGAUACCCUGGUAGUCCACACCGUAAACGAUGGAUACUAGGUGUAGGAAAUGAUUUCAUUUUCUGUGCCGUCGCAAACGCAAUAAGUAUCCCACCUGGGGAGUACGGCCGCAAGGUUGAAACUCAAAGGAAUUGACGGGGGCCCGCACAAGCAGUGGAGUAUGUGGUUUAAUUCGAAGCAACGCGAAGAACCUUACCAGGGCUUGACAUAUAGAUGAAUAACUAAGAGAUUAGUUAGUCCUUCGGGACAUCUAUACAGGUGGUGCAUGGUUGUCGUCAGCUCGUGUCGUGAGAUGUUAGGUUAAGUCCUGCAACGAGCGCAACCCCUGUGAUUAGUUGCCAACAGGUUAAGCUGGGAACUCUAAUCAGACUGCCGGUGAUAAAUCGGAGGAAGGUGGGGAUGACGUCAAAUCAUCAUGCCCUUUAUGUCCUGGGCUACACACGUACUACAAUGGCUGUAACAGAGAGAAGCAACACCGCGAGGUAGAGCGAAACUCCAAAAGCAGUCUCAGUUCGGAUUGAAGGCUGAAAUUCGCCUUCAUGAAGCCGGAAUUGCUAGUAAUGGCAGGUCAGCAUACUGCCGUGAAUACGUUCCC
Molecule: ribosomal RNA, 1003 nt
Filed under: uncultured bacterium
Lineage: Bacteria
Description: bacterial SSU rRNA
Rfam family: Bacterial small subunit ribosomal RNA
Source: RNAcentral